Molecule: unclassified non-coding RNA, 200 nt
Filed under: Hypholoma sp.
Lineage: Eukaryota; Fungi; Basidiomycota; Agaricomycetes; Agaricales; Strophariaceae
Description: partial internal transcribed spacer 2
Source: RNAcentral
UUAAGUUCAGCGGGUAGUCCUACCUGAUUUGAGGUCAAAUUGUCAUAUAUUGUCCGAAUGAACAGACGGUUAUAAGCAGUGCUAAAAACGGCGAAUAGUCCACGGCGUAGAUAAUUAUCACACCAAUAGACAGGUUCACACAAGGCAACCAGCUAAUGUAUUUCAGGGGAGCUAAUUUCAUUACAGAAACCUGCAUACCC